This is a non-coding RNA of Paramuricea clavata, 255 nucleotides long. The record is from the annotation of a GenBank genome assembly. Lineage: Eukaryota; Metazoa; Cnidaria; Anthozoa; Malacalcyonacea; Plexauridae.
UGGACGGGUAGUAUUGAUGAUCAAAAAGAAUUGUUCUUACAUGUUCUCGCUGAAUUGACCACCAAGCAAUUACGUGCCGAGAACAACAACUGUAUGGACUUCGACACCUACAACCGGAAACACAAGCAAUUGAUCAGUGAUAAUUGGGAAAAAGCAAUCGGUUUUUUUCACCGUAUUCUCAAUGGCGAAUGGAAAGAAAAACCAAAGCCCAUCGAGGCAGGUAUCGACGACAAAACCAUCAUAUGUGAUACCGAU